RNAcentral lists this ribosomal RNA (402 nucleotides) under bacterium. Its description in RNAcentral is "partial 16S ribosomal RNA". It matches the Rfam family "Bacterial small subunit ribosomal RNA", at positions 355 to 776 of the family's 1533-position model. The record is from RNAcentral.
UGGGGAAUUUUGCACAAUGGGGGAAACCCUGAUGCAGCGACGCCGCGUGAUUUAGAAGGCCUUCAGGUUGUAAAAAUCUUUUCUAUGGGAAGAAAAUGACAGUACCAUAGGAAUAAGGACCGGCUAAUUACGUGCCAGCAGCCGCGGUAAUACGUAAGGUCCGAGCGUUGUCCGGAAUCAUUGGGCGUAAAGGGUACGUAGGCGGGUAAGCAAGUUAGAAGUGAAAUCCUAUAGCUCAACUAUAGUAAGCUUUUAAAACUGCUCAUCUUGAGGUAUGGAAGGGAAAGUGGAAUUCCUAGUGUAGCGGUGAAAUGCGCAGAUAUUAGGAGGAAUACCGGUGGCGAAGGCGACUUUCUGGCCAUAACCUGACGCUGAGGUACGAAAGCGUGGGUAGCAAACAGG